Molecule: ribosomal RNA, 253 nt
Filed under: uncultured bacterium
Lineage: Bacteria
Description: partial 16S ribosomal RNA
Rfam family: Bacterial small subunit ribosomal RNA
Source: RNAcentral
UACGUAGGGUGCAAGCGUUGUCCGGAAUUAUUGGGCGUAAAGAGCUCGUAGGCGGUUUGUCGCGUCGAAUGUGAAAACCCGGGGCUCAACCCCGGGCCUGCAUUCGAUACGGGCAGACUAGAGUUCGGUAGGGGAGUCUGGAAUUCCUGGUGUAGCGGUGGAAUUCGUAGAUAUCGGGAGGAACACCGGUGGCGAAGGCGGCGACCUGGGUAGAUACUGACGCUGAGGCGCGAAAGCGUGGGGAGCAAACAGG